RNAcentral lists this ribosomal RNA (282 nucleotides) under Triticum aestivum (bread wheat). RNAcentral's name for it is "partial small subunit ribosomal RNA". The record is from RNAcentral. Lineage: Eukaryota; Viridiplantae; Streptophyta; Magnoliopsida; Poales; Poaceae.
AUGAUAAGUAGAUUCUGGUGGGCUCAACAACAGAACGAAGCUAAGGUACACUGGCUAGGAUGGGAGAAAUUAACCCGAGCUAAACAAGACAGAGGUCUAGGGUACAAGGACUUACAUCUCUUUAAUCUGUCCAUGCUCGCCAAGCAAGGAUGGCGCUUUCUAACAGAUCCUGACACACUAUGUGCGAGGGUGCUGAAGGCUCGAUAUUUCCCGGAGGUCGAUGUGCUGCAUGCUGAACCAAAGUGGGGAAUAUCUUACACAUGGCGUAGCAUUCUUCGAGGC